CUAAGACAACCCUGACGGAACCAAAGUUUCCAGCCACGGCCAGCUCUCCGAAUGACGAGCUUCCGCCUCCCUGAGCCGCUCUGCCAGUUUUUACGUGGGAACUGAAGCAUCAGAAAUUUCUAGGUUUUUUUUCCUCCCCUUCCUGGGGCAAAUCUCCGUCUGCACCUUGCGCGGCGCUUGGGAACAGGACAAGUGAAGACAUCCAGCAUGGCUCAGGGAUCCGGGGAUCAGAGAGCAGUGGGGAUCGCUGACCCAGAGGACAGUUCUCCAAAUAUGAUAGUCUACCGCAAAGUAAGGCAUCUGCUUAAAUGCGGGGGGCGCUGCCUUGUGUGUAUUUGGGCUCUGUGUAGGGUUGACUGAUGGUUGACUGCUGGAGUCAUGUUUAUUGCCUGAACUCCCUUGACUGAUACAUGAAUAUCAUUUUCUUCUCAUAUCCUCCAAUUUCCCUAUUAAACACUUCCUGGAAGUUAACUUUUGCCCUGCUUUGCAUUGAACACUUGAAAAAUAUUAUAUGGAUUCGUUUUCUUCAAACCAAAGGUGGCCUACACAAUGCAGAUAGACACGGUAUUGUCCCUCUGUGGAAAGGCCUUAGUGUAACAUUAGUUAAUUGAAUGCUCUUCAAAGCCAUAGCACACACAAGAUCUGCUCUAGAUGCUGUGGGGGACGGGGAGUGCAAAGGUAUGUAUGGGUGAGAUGUUUUACAGUUCUUGGAGACAUAAGCUAUACACGGAUAACUGUUAUAGAGUCUAAGCGUUAAAAAUUCCCCAAAGAGAAGCGAGAGUAGAGUGUUACCUCGGCGGGGGGGGCGGGGGGGUGGUGGGGGGAGACGAUUACUUCCAGCCUCCCAUGUCUGGAUUGGGCUGCGGAGGAUGCGCCUUUGAACUCAGUUUUAAAGGAUCCAUAGGAUUGCUUUAUGUGGAAAACAGAAGGAAAGAGCCAUGUUCCAGGCCCCGAGAUGCCUCCAGCAAAGGCAAAGGGCUGGCAAAAAGUGAAGGGCAAGCAGAACCUGUGAGCUUGGGCAGAGGAUGAAUUAUAAGUAAUUGGAGUAAAUGGAGGUGAGAUUUGGGGACGAAAGUCUGGAUGGAGCCAGAUUUUAGAAUGUUGAGUCAUAGGCAGUUGAAUUUAAUUUGAAAUACUUUAGUGCCAGGAGAUGUAAGAUCAACAUUUAUUUGGGAUUAUGAGCCUUGCCCCGGGGUGCCAAGGGCACCAUGGAGGCUUUAGUGGGGGUGUUUCUGUACAUAUGAGAAAGGUGAAGCGGACACGAAUCUAGCAGGAAAUGCCCCUCAGAAAUGAGUGGGGCUGAGCAGAGUGAUUCAAGGGUCUGAAUUCACAAUGACUUGAAAACAGAAUGAAUAUAAUAUUAGAAGGUGAGUCACAGAUGACUGGGUUUUUGACCUUGGGUAAUAGAAACGCAUCGGUGCUAUUCAUUCAAGUAGGAAUAUUUGGAAGAAUAUGUUUUAAAGGAAGGAAAGAUGGCACGUAAGGUUUUAUUUGUGCAUGUGUUGAAUUUGAGAACCUAAUUGCUGCUUCUUAUAUGCCUUUUUAAUAUUUGCAAUGCAGUGAAAAUCUAACCUGACCACAUCACAUAUUAAUAAGGAAAAUGUGUUCCUGCUCAUUCAUUUCACUAAAUAUUUGAGUUGUCUGCUAGGUUCUGUGUAUUCUGCAAGAUUCUGUUCUCUCUAUGUUAAUCAUAUGCAUAAUGUUGAACUAGAUAUUCCUGGAUGCUCAAUAUGGUGAAUUUUUCUCUUCUCCUUGUGAAAAUAGAACUCUCAAAUGAAUCUCACUUUUGGUAUCAAAUUCCUUAAUCCUUUGCUUUGCAAAAGAAUGCUUAGAUAACCUAUCUUUAAGAGAGAUGCUUAUCAAUUAUAGUAAAGAGAAAAGAGAUUAAUGGGGCCAACCAAGCCAGUGAGGCAUACAGAAUAAUAGAAAGACAUUUAUUCACCUCCUAACCCACCUCAAGCUAGGAAACCCUGUGCCAUCCUCAUAGGAACAUGGGAUUUGGAGUGAAGACGCGGGUUACAUUG
Molecule: long non-coding RNA, 2024 nt
Filed under: Sus scrofa (pig)
Lineage: Eukaryota; Metazoa; Chordata; Mammalia; Artiodactyla; Suidae
Description: lncRNA (ENSSSCG00040040928.1)
Source: RNAcentral